Cornus florida is the source of this 655-nucleotide long non-coding RNA. RefSeq lists it as uncharacterized. NCBI's taxonomy places the organism in Eukaryota, Viridiplantae, Streptophyta, Magnoliopsida, Cornales, Cornaceae. The transcript has 3 exons. The record is from RefSeq and is a predicted model, not a curated record.
UAAAAUAUAGCUUGCACUUCACAAGAAGAGGAGUGGGGGAAAACCCAAUUACUAACCCUAAAAGCCGUCUCCAAGUUUACAAGAGUAUCCAAAGGAGACACCUAAACCUAGAGUGUAGAACAUCUCUACCGAUAUUUUAAUAUAGCCUUCAACCAUACAAUGGCCCCAGCCAUACAAUAUAAAUCGGGACUGUGCCUGUAAUCUCCCGACGUCCGGAAGAGGUCGAAGCUCUGUUCAAAAAGAUGGCAGCAGCAUUAAGCAUUCCGAUGUGGCGUGGCAACAGUAAGUUUUGCUCGGCACUUAGAGAAGCAAAAGAAAAUAGGCAAGUAGUGCACCAAUCAAAAGAGAAGAUAUCUAUAGGGAUUCAAACGUUCCCUGCGAUUCACUUUCAAGCCUACCAUCGACGAAUAAUUGUUCCCAAAAGGUGUUCAUGAGUACCAGGCUUAGGGCUUAAUCGUGGUGAUGCAGAUACAAUCACUCACUCUUCCGACUACAUAUGAUUUCCUUUCUUAUUCUAGUUUUGGAUUUUAAUUUUGUAAAUUUAUUUAUAGUAUGAGAUUAUUAGGGGUCCACUAGUUGGAUUCCCGAGUUGUACGGAUUUUGAGGAUUUAAAUGAUAUUAAUUUAUUAUUUAAAAUUUGAGAAUUUUUAUUUUA